Molecule: ribosomal RNA, 254 nt
Filed under: uncultured bacterium
Lineage: Bacteria
Description: partial 16S ribosomal RNA
Rfam family: Bacterial small subunit ribosomal RNA
Source: RNAcentral
UACGUAGGCAGCAAGCGUUGCUCGGAAUCACUGGGCGUAAAGGGCGCGUAGGCGGCCGAUUAAGUCGGGGGGUGAAAGCCUGUGGCUCAACCACAGAAUUGCCUUCGAUACUGGUUGGCUUGAGACCGGAAGAGGACAGCGGAACUGCGAGUGUAGAGGUGAAAUUCGUAGAUAUUCGCAAGAACACCAGUGGCGAAGGCGGCUGUCUGGUCCGGUUCUGACGCUGAGGCGCGAAAGCGUGGGGAGCAAACAGG